Oncorhynchus tshawytscha (Chinook salmon) is the source of this 638-nucleotide long non-coding RNA. NCBI's taxonomy places the organism in Eukaryota, Metazoa, Chordata, Actinopteri, Salmoniformes, Salmonidae. The record is from Ensembl.
GAGGGAGAGGGCUGAGGAGGGGUGAGGGAGAGGGCUGAGGAGGGGUGAGGGAGAGGCCUGAGGAGGGGUGAGGGAGAGGACUGAGGAGGGGUGAGGGAGAGGGCUGAGGAGGGGUGAGAGAGAGGACUGAGGAGGGGUGAGGGGUGAGGGAGAGGACUGAGGAGGGGUGAGGGAGAGGGGUGAGGGAGAGGACUGAGGAGGGGUGAGGGAUAGGGGUGAGGGAGAGGACUGAGGAGGGGUGAGGGAGAGGGGUGAGGGAUAGGGGUGAGGGAGAGGACUGAGGAGGAGUGAGGGAGAGGACUGAGGAGGGGUGAUGGAGAGGACUGAGGAGAGGACUUAGGAGGGGUGAGGGAGAAGACUGAGGAGGGGUGAGGGAGAGGACUGAGGAGGGGAGAGGGGUGAGGGAGAGGACUGAGGAGGGGAGAGGGGUGAGGGAGAGGACUGAGGAGGGGUGAGGGAGAGGACUGAGGAGAGGACUUAGGAGGGGUGAGGGAGAAGACUGAGGAGGGGUGAGGGAGAGGACUGAGGAGGGGUGAGGGAGAGGACUGAGGAGGGGACUUAGGAGGGGUGAGGGAGAAGACUGAGGAGGGGUGAGGGAGAGGACUGAGGAGGGGAGAGGGGUGAGGGAGAGGACUGAG